UAUACUGAAAUGAUGCACCAAUGGCCUGU
RNAcentral lists this small RNA (29 nucleotides) under Bombyx mori (domestic silkworm). Its description in RNAcentral is "ovarian small RNA-23350". The record is from RNAcentral. Lineage: Eukaryota; Metazoa; Arthropoda; Insecta; Lepidoptera; Bombycidae.